Musa acuminata AAA Group (dessert banana) is the source of this 1029-nucleotide long non-coding RNA. RefSeq lists it as uncharacterized. The record is from RefSeq and is a predicted model, not a curated record. The transcript is spliced from 4 exons. NCBI's taxonomy places the organism in Eukaryota, Viridiplantae, Streptophyta, Magnoliopsida, Zingiberales, Musaceae.
UUCUUUGUUCCACUCCGAUCGGCUUCGACGAUACGGAGACGGGAAGCUGGAAGGCGGAUUGCCGGAUCCAGCGGCGAUCCGUUGCUUACUGCCUUGCAAGAAGAAACCCUCGCCAGAUCAUUCGGCGAGAGGAGCAACCAACCCUAGGACGACUGUUUUCACCCGCCCGAUCUCGAUGGCCUCUUAGCCCUCGCGCCGACGGAGGAGAAACUUGCGCUUGAGUUAGGCGAAUAUGGUGGCGUCUUCUAGAUAAAGGAUAGCAGGGAGGAAGAUUAUGUUUUAUGUCAUAAAGAUCACAUGGUGUCAUGUGGAACUCAUACAGCCAUUGCGCUUCCAUUGCGGCGUUCUGUCUCCAUACCCAACAUGCCUCGCUGGAGGAAGAGUAUGUUUUAUGUCAUAAUGAUCACAUGGUGUCUUGUGGAACUCAUACAGCCAUUGCGCUUCCAUUGCGGCGUUCUGUCUCCAUACCCAACAUGCCUCGCUGUUAUUCCAACGCAAACGAAGACGAUGAAGAAACCUGCUGCGCGUGCUGCCUUGGCUCCAAUGCUUCCUUCCUCCCUGAUCUGUACGAUCCUCCCUCAAGUAGCAUUUUUCCUUCCUGAACGGGUCCACUAAAUGACAAGAAAAUGAGCUGCAGUCUCUCUGGUUGUCAUCUGUUGAAGUCGAACUAUAUUUUCAUUGAAAUUUUCAUUCUUCUCUCAACCGUCACCACGGCAUGUAGUCUUAUAUUCUGAAAGAAAUUAGAUCCACUGUGUUAGUGCUAAAACCUGUGUUUCUUUCGGCUAACUCACAACUUAUGUAGGACGAAAUCUUGGUAAAAAGUUAUUCCUUUAGUUGUUUUUUUUUUUUUUCAAAAGUAUCCUUUUUUUCAUAUUUCUCAAUCAAUCUCUUUUUAUCAUAUUCUUCAAAGUACCAUUGACAAAACACAAUAGCAAAUCUCAUUCCUUUUGGUGGAUUGGUUCAUAAGGCUCGAUCCAUUUCCUGAGUUACAAUAUUUUGUAAAACAUUACAAGCAUAUUUAAAAAUAUU